RNAcentral lists this ribosomal RNA (305 nucleotides) under uncultured bacterium. RNAcentral describes it as "bacterial SSU rRNA". It matches the Rfam family "Bacterial small subunit ribosomal RNA", at positions 333 to 652 of the family's 1533-position model. The record is from RNAcentral.
AUGUGCCUACGGGGGGCAGCAGUGGGGAAUAUUGCGCAAUGGGGGAAACCCUGACGCAGCAACGCCGCGUGCAGGAAGAAGGUCUUCGGAUUGUAAACUGUUGUCGCAGGGGAAGAAGACAGUGACGGUACCCUGUGAGAAAGUCACGGCUAACUACGUGCCAGCAGCCGCGGUAAUACGUAGGUGACAAGCGUUGUCCGGAUUUACUGGGUGUAAAGGGCGCGUAGGCGGGAGGGCAAGUCAGAUGUGAAAACCCGGGGCUCAACUCCGGGAGUGCAUUUGAAACUGUCCAGCUAGAGUGCAGG